This 227-nucleotide unclassified non-coding RNA is filed under the name uncultured Basidiomycota. RNAcentral's name for it is "sequence contains ITS1". Lineage: Eukaryota; Fungi; Basidiomycota. The record is from RNAcentral.
UUGAAUGUACUUGCAAGUUGGUUGUAGCUGGCUUUUCGAAGUAAUGUGCUCGCCGCUUGUCUCUACUAUUUUUCCACCUGUGAACCUUUGUAGAUCAUGAAUGAACUCUCGCCUGAGAAUGGCGGUUUGAGGGACUUGUCCCUUGAUAGUUCGUGGUCUAUGUUUAUAUCUACCCCAUGUUUGUCUUUGAAUGUCUUUUAAAUGGUCUUUGACCUUUAAAUACUAUA